RNAcentral lists this ribosomal RNA (845 nucleotides) under uncultured bacterium. RNAcentral describes it as "bacterial SSU rRNA". It matches the Rfam family "Bacterial small subunit ribosomal RNA", at positions 56 to 883 of the family's 1533-position model. The record is from RNAcentral.
UGCAGUCGUACGAGAACCCCGAUGCUUGCAUUGGGGGGAGAGUGGCGAACGGGUGAGUAACACGUGGAUAAUCUGCCUCCGGGUUGGGGACAACCAUCCGAAAGGAUGGCUAAUACCGAAUAACAUGGCUUUAACAUAAGUUUUUGCCAUCAAAGGUGGGGACCUUCGGGCCUACCUCCUGGAGAUGAGUCCGCGGCCCAUUAGCUUGUUGGUGGGGUAACGGCCUACCAAGGCUGCGAUGGGUAGCCGGCCUGAGAGGGUGAACGGCCACAUUGGGACUGAGAUACGGCCCAGACUCCUACGGGAGGCAGCAGUUAAGAAUCUUGCGCAAUGGGAGAAAUCCUGACGCAGCGACGCCGCGUGGACGAUGAAGGCCUUCGGGUUGUAAAGUCCAAUAAGCAGGGAAGAAUAAGCAAAAGGUAAUAUUUUUUGUGAUGACGGUACCUGCCUAAAGCCCCGGCUAACUACGUGCCAGCAGCCGCGGUAAUACGUAUGGGGCAAGCGUUGUUCGGAAUUACUGGGCGUAAAGCGCGCGUAGGCGGCUUUGUAAGUCGGAUGUGAAAGCCCUGGGCUUAACCUGGGAAUUGCAUUCGAUACUGCAGAGCUAGAGUAUGGUAGAGGGAAGUGGAAUUCCGGGUGUAGCGGUGAAAUGCGUAGAUAUCCGGAGGAACACCAGUGACGAGCGACUUCCUGGGCCAUACUGACGCUGAAGGUGCGAAGCGUGGGGGAGCAAACAGGAUAGAUACCUGUAGUUCACGUCGUUAACGAUGAAUACUAGAUGUCGGGGAAUCUUGUCCUUCGGGUCGCAGCUAAACGCGUUAAGUUCCUCCGCCUGGGGGGAGUAC